This 558-nucleotide long non-coding RNA is filed under the name Rosa chinensis. Its description in RNAcentral is "sRNA RchiOBHm_Chr4g0440741". Lineage: Eukaryota; Viridiplantae; Streptophyta; Magnoliopsida; Rosales; Rosaceae. The record is from RNAcentral.
CCUCCCGACUCUACUUGGCUCCUCCGGCGCAUCCUCACGCCGCCGCGUUUUCUAACUCGGCUGGCUCAAGCUUAACAAUAGGCUCUUAGAGCAAGUCCACCGGUUUGCUCUUGACUGGACAUAGUCAAGAAAAACCUGACUAUAUGACCUUGAGAUGGAUUUUGCUCCUUCCACCGGUGGUUUUUUGCCCGGGCAAAACCAACCCUUUCUUGACUACAGCCAAGAAAUAAGUCACAACCAUGACUAUUUUCCUGACCGGUCAAGCCCAGAUGCCAGCGGUUUCCAAGCCUGAUCGUGGCUGACGUGAGGAGGAGCUCAGCAAUGAUCGUGGGCGACGUCAUCACCAGACCCUCCACUGCGCCGCAAGGAUUCACUUGGCCGGACGAUUUGCUCUGCUGGGUUGCUUCGAUCUAGGCCUAGGGGAAGCUUCUGGGCUGUUUGACGCCACAGAGCUGCAGGAGGAGGUGAGGCGACCUCGGGGGGGGGGGGGGGGGGGGGGGGGGCCGGGUCCUUGGCCAGAGAACGCUGGAGGACGGAGAAAAAUCCGGGUCGGGUCGG